GCCUAAUUGGCUCAGUCGGUGGAGCAUGCAACUCUUGAUCUUGAGGUUGUGGGUUCGAGCCCCAUGUUGGGUG
This 73-nucleotide transfer RNA is filed under the name Canis lupus familiaris (dog). It matches the Rfam family "tRNA". Rfam says of the family: Transfer RNA (tRNA) molecules are approximately 80 nucleotides in length. Their secondary structure includes four short double-helical elements and three loops (D, anti-codon, and T loops). Lineage: Eukaryota; Metazoa; Chordata; Mammalia; Carnivora; Canidae. RNAcentral also lists the same sequence under 1 other name. The record is from Rfam by way of RNAcentral.